RNAcentral lists this unclassified non-coding RNA (672 nucleotides) under Hevea brasiliensis (rubber tree). Lineage: Eukaryota; Viridiplantae; Streptophyta; Magnoliopsida; Malpighiales; Euphorbiaceae. The record is from RNAcentral.
AGUUUAUCUCUGAUUGAAUUUUAAACCCUUAACCCUCUGCCUUCACUGGUUCUAUGACUGAUCCAGGUCUAAAAACCUUGCUUGUUUUACACAACUAAACAAGGACCAAGCUAUUUUCAAGGAAAAUAACUUUAUCUUUUAAAGGAAAAUUCACUUAUUGGAUUUUGACAAUUUUAUAAAGAAUGAAGAAACCUAUAAGGAAAUCACAUAAGCACAAUACAAACUAUUUAUCUUUGGCUGUUAUUGACCACCACUGUCAACAGCCAUUGUUGGCAAAUUUCAGCGACAGCCACAAUUUAUUAUUUUAUAUCUAUUUUUCUUGUAACUAAUAAUAAAUAGACAAAUAAGAAGUUAUUAUAUGUUCAAACAUAUCCAUAAGCUAAUAUUUUGAAAGAAAAUUAUUAUUUUCCAAAGCACUUCAAACACCAAAAAAUAGUUUAUGAAGUUUCAUAAAUGCAAUCAACCAAUAAAAAUAUUUUAAGUCAUUUCUUUUUUAAUUUUCCAAAGACAAAUUAUUUUCUAUGAAAUAAUUGGAGCCUAAAUUUCUUUUUUAUGACUUGUCAGCUGAAAUCAGUCUACUCUACUUGUCCAUAAACAAUUGAGAUUACCUUUUGUUUUGGCGUGGAGAAGAGGUCGUCUUCUCUCUCCACUGUUGGCUUGUCAGAAGCAACC